Molecule: ribosomal RNA, 373 nt
Filed under: uncultured organism
Description: partial 16S ribosomal RNA
Rfam family: Bacterial small subunit ribosomal RNA
Source: RNAcentral
GGAGGGGUGCAAACGUUGUCCGGAAUUACUGGGCGUAAAGGGCGCGUAGGCGGACUUGUAAGUCAGGAGUGAAAACUCAGGGGCUCAACCCUGAGCCUGCUUCUGAAACUGCAAGUCUUGAGGACCGGAGAGGAAAGUGGAAUUCCUAGUGUAGCGGUGGAAUGCGUAGAUAUUAGGAAGAACACCAGUGGCGAAGGCGACUUUCUGGACGGUACCUGACGCUGAGGCGCGAAAGCUAGGGGAGCAAACAGGAUUAGAUACCCUGGUAGUCCUAGCUGUAAACGAUGAGUGCUAGGUGGUGGUAGUUUCAACGCUUUCACUGCCGAAGCUAACGCAUUAAGCACUCCGCCUGGGGAGUACGGCCGCAAGGUUG